RNAcentral lists this long non-coding RNA (9795 nucleotides) under Cinara cedri. The record is from RNAcentral. Lineage: Eukaryota; Metazoa; Arthropoda; Insecta; Hemiptera; Aphididae.
AGGAAUCCAUUUUAAGAUAUGAUAACUUUGUUAGAGAACAUCAAAAUUUUGAUUUAAGCUAUAAAGAGUUUAUUGAUUUAGUUAAAUGUCUGUCAGAAGAACUAAAACAACAUAGUGAAAUUGUUGGUGAUUUAGGGCUUUUACAAGUAUAUAUAAUAACUAUAUAAUUACUAAUUUUCUUUCUGAAAUUAUUUAAUUUAAUUAUUUAUAUAUAAAGGCAAGACAAAAGAAACUAUUGGCAAUAUCUGACUCAAAAUGUCAACAAAGUGUACAAUAUGAGUCUCUUGCAAAUAUGGCAGAAAAACUAUACGUCCAAACUUCUCCAGAUGGAAGAGAAAUCAUACGACAACAAAUGAAGUAUGUAUAAAUUAAUUUUAUAUAUAAAUGGUCUAUGAUAUUAAUUUAUUUAAAUUUAAGGGAUUUGAGAAUUUCAUGGGAGUUAGUUUCUGAAAGUUUACAAUCAAGUCUUGAAAAACUAGAAAAUUGCUUAUUGCAGUUUGCAGAGUUUUCACUAUCACAAGAACAAUUAACUAAGUGGCUCAAAAAUAUUGAGCAAGCUAUGCAACAACACACUGAAACAAAAGCCACUUUACAAGAGAAAAAAGCUCAACUUCAGGUACUUGCAUUGUAAAAUCUGCCUAAAAAGAUUAUUUUAUAGUAUAUUAUUAUUUUUAAUCAUAUUUAUUUGGAAAUUAGAACCACGUUGUAAUAAAUCAAGAAAUAUUGUCUCAUCAAACACUUGUACAAUCAGUAUGCGAUAAGGCUCAAGAACUUGUAAAUCAAACUAGGGAUAAUACUUUAAAUACAUAUUUAGAAUCAAUUAAAUACCUAUAUGAAAAAAUUGUUACGAAAUCUAAGGUGAUUUUUUAUUAUAAAUUACAGAUAUUUAGUAAAUUCAAAUUAAAUAAUUUUGUGAUUAACUAGGAGCUAAUGGACUCAUUAGAGCUUUCAGUUCAAAAUCAUUCAGAAUUUAAUCUUGUUUGUCAAAAACUUAGGCUGAUGAUAAAAGAACAACGUGAUAAAAUAAGAGAUAGUGACAACAUUGCUGUUGAAAAAGACAUAAUUGUCAAAAAAAUUAAUAUUUUUAAAGUAAAUAUAUACUGGAAUAUAAAUAAUUUGUGUUCAUAAUUUGAAUAUUAUAAUCCUGUUGUAGGAAAUGAAAACAUCAAAUAUAACAGAAAAUGAUUUACAAAAUCAUCUUGAACAAAUAUUUCAGUUAGUAAGCAAAUCAACUACAAAAAAAGGAAUUAAUGUUAUGAAAAAAGAAAUAUCAAAAAUAGAUAGUGAUAAGUCACAAUUAAUAGUACAACUUGGUAAAUAAUAUUAAAAUUUACUUUUUAUAAUCACCCACACAUAAUAGCUAAAAACAAUUUUUUCACUUAUAGUUAGUGAAUCUUUUAAAAGAUUUAAUCUCAAAAGGCCUGUAAAAAAAACUUACUUAAUUCUUGUAUCCCAUUUAAGAUUUAUUUAUUAUAAAUUUAACUUAUUGAUAUUGAAUUAAUAUAUAUAUUAUUAAAUGUUUAUUAAAUCUCUAAUUAGAUUAGCUUAUAAUUGUUAUUAAUGUAUAAGAUAAGUUUAUAAUAAUAAACUUUGGUUUCAGAUACUAUUAUUGAAAAAAUGGAGGAUAUUUUGGUGCAAUGGACUGAUUUUGAAAAUGAAUUUGAGGAAAUAACAAGUUGGUUCAGAUCAACAGAAUUGCUUAUUAAAGAUCAACAACUACAAGCAACAUUUGAAACCAAGGAAAAUAAAUUCAAACAUUUUACGGAAAAACGAAAUGAAGUAUUACAAUAUGAACCAAAAAUUGAGAAAUUUAUCGAUAAUUCUAAUAAUUUGUUACACACAAGUGGAGUAGAACGUCUAAAACCACUUAUACUUCAAGUAGGAAACCGGUAAGAAAAACAUAAUUAGUUUAAAAAAAAAUGUUUGUAUUAUAAAUUUGUUUAUUGUAAUAUCAAUAAUUAUUUAUGUGUACCAGGUAUCAAUUACUUCUAGUUUUAAGUAAAGAAAUAGUGGCUAAAUGGCAAAACAUUUCUGAUGACCAUAAGAACUUUAAUGAUAAGUUGGCUGAAUUCAAAUUAUGGUUAGAAAUAUUAGAAAAUAAACCUGAUCCAAUUUUGAAUGAUGAUAAUUUAGAUUUAAAUAAAAAAUUAUCACAAUUACAAAGUUUGUAUAGUAGUUCUGAUCAAACAUCAUCAAAAAUUUCAUUUUUAACUUCUUUGGGUGAGAGUUUAUACCCUGAUACAUCUGCUACAGGACGAGAAAUCAUUAGGCAACAACUUACAGAAAUUCGUGAAAGGUAUCUUAAAUAUUUUUAUAUUGUUAAUUUAGAAACAUUUCUACAAAAAAUGUUUAUUGUAACUGAUUUAUUUAUUAUUAACAGAUGGGAUACAUGGGAUGAAAAAAUUAAAACUGCUCAAAAAUCUCUAGGAGUACAAUCCCAACAAUGGAAUAGUUAUCAAGAAACCCUUUUACAAACUAUAAAUUGGUUGGAAAGUGUAGAAAAAGCCAUUGCCUCUAAUCAAACAUCUAUAUGGUCUUCUCUACAAGAAAUAAGAUCAAAACUUUUAAAGCAAAAAGUAAAUAUACAAAAUAAAAUAAAAUAAAAUGCUACUAAUCAAUAUCAAUUAUAUUAUAGGUAAAUAAUUCAUUUUUUUUUUUUUAGGCCACAAUGCAAGAAAUAAACUCUCAUAGUCGGAUGAUUGAAACAAUAUUGGAGAAAGGAAAAACAAUUAAGAAACCUAAAGAUGAAAAUAAUUCAGAAAUAUCAUUGAAGGAUAGAUAUGAUUUAUUACGUGAAAAAAUGAAUAAUUCUAUUUCACAAUUAGAGAAUUACUUAGAAACCUAUCAGCAAUAUCAAGACUUACUUAAAUCAUAUCAAGAUACUCAAAAACAGCUUUGGGAUCAACUUUCAAUAUAUACAGGUUUAUAAAUCAUAAUGUUAUUAUCAUUCUAGAACUUUAAUAAUAAUGUAAAAAUUAAAAUUAUUUUAGAUUAUUCAGGAAAUAAACAAAUUUUAGAAAUGCGAUUGAAUAAAGUUAAUGUUAUACAAACUACUUUUGAUAACAAUAAAACAACUUUAAUGGCAAUGGAACAUUUUAUUGAAAACUUAAAGGAUACAAUUCCACAAAAAGCAAUUGAUAUGAUGUCGAGGGAUCAUACAAAUUUACAGUAAAAAUUUUAAAAAAAGAAGCUAGUUGAAGAUAUAAUUAGAUACACCUAAUUUCAUUAUAGAUUUGAACAAGAAAAGUUCCAGUCAUUGUUAAAUGAUUUAUUAGAUGGUUUACAAAGUAGAAUAGUUCAAUGGGUAGAGUUUGAAAAUUUAAUUCAUCAGUUAGCUUCAUGGCAUAAUGAUACAGAAAAAAAGUUACAAAACUAUUCAGAGAAGGGUACACUUGAAGAAAAAACACAACAAUAUAAUAAAUUUCAGGUAUAAAUUUUAUAUUUAAUUCACACAAAAGAGAAAUACUAGGUUUUAUCUACACUCACACUCAUCAUUAGUGUUAUCUUAAUAUAAAUAUAUAGAUAUUAUGUUUUUAUAUGAUUUAUUAUUAUUACUUAUAAUAAUAUAUAAUUAACAGUGGGUGUAACAUAUGGUGGAUAUUGGUGUUAAAACAUCCCAAAUAUCAGAAAAAUAAACAACUAAUAAUAAAAAUUCCAUUGAUUUAAAAUGUAUUUUAAGUUAUUAACGUAAGAAAUUCUAAUGAGAUCCUUUAUUUUUUCUGAGUCAUAGUUUUGUAUUGUGUCAGUGUUACAAUAUGUAAUUAAAAUAAUAACAAUGAAAUUAAAAUACAAAUGAAUAAUUUAUUAAAUUAAUAGGUAUAAUAAUUUUGUAAAUUAAUAUUAUUAUAGUAUUAUAAAAUUUAGUUUUGAAUUUAAUUUAGGAUUUAGAAAAAGAAAUUAAAGGAAAAUUGAACGCAGUGAAGGAUUUAAUUGCAUAUGGUGAUCAUCUUCAACAAGUAAGAUUUAUUCAAAGAAAAUGAAUAUUGCAUGCACCGUGUUAUUAAUUUUUUUAAUAAGCCAAGUAUAAUUUGACACAAAAAUAUUGUCAAAUAAAACAAAUUAUAUAAUUUCACUUUAAUUUAUAAAUUGUAUAUAAUUGUUUAUAAAAAAAUACUUUUAAGAUUAUUUUAAAUUUAAAAUAUUGAUUAAUGUUAAUUUGUUACUAUGUUAUAGUCAUUAUUGGAUGACAUGAAAAAGAAAGAUUUAAAUGUUGAUAAACUUAUUGAUCAAGCUAAUGAACAAGAGGCAACAGGUGAAGCACGAUUAUCAACCAGAGUCAAACAGAUAUCAUCUCGUUAUCAAUCGAUGCAAACUACCAUUAAAGUAAAAAUAAAUAAUGUUUUAAAUUAGUUAAAAUUAAUUUGUUUUAUAUUAUUUCAGGACAUUUUAAAUAAAUGCCAUGAAUCGAUUAAAAUUCAUCAAGAAUAUAUAGACAAGUAUAAUGAAUGUUCUAUUCAAUUUUCAAACAUUCAAAGUCAAUUUAAAAAUGUCAAUGAACCUCCAUUAUCCUCACAAGCUAUACAUCAAUAUUUAAUUCAGAAAAAUGGAAAAUUAAAUGAAUUGUUAGAUACAAAACCAAAUGUUACAUCUUUGUUGAAUAAUUGUAUUGAAUUAGGAGAAAAAUUAUAUUUGAGUACAUCUAUAUCUGGAAGAGAUGACAUUAAACGUCAGUUAGAAGAACUUCAAAUCCUAUUUGAUACUUUAUAUGAUGAUCUUUUAAAUAUUAAUAGAGAUGUUAAAGAUCAAUUAACUAAAUGGAGUGGAUUUGAAGAGCUAUAUAAUGAAUUAAAUAAAUGGUUCAACAGCACUAAACAAAUAUUAAAUAAAGAUUUAGUGCUUAAAUCUACUUUAGAUGAAAAAAAAAUGCAAUUACAAAUCUAUAGAGACAUGCUACAAGCUACAUUAAAAAGGAAACAAGAUAUUGUGAAAUUACAUGAUCUUACUGACAGAAUGCAAAUGCGAGAAAAUAAUGAUAUUCUUAUAUCUUCUAUGAAUAAACAACAUGAUGACAUUUUAAAACUAAUUCAAGACUUUGUUGAUAAAUAUGAAGCAAUUGUAAAAGACCAUGAACAAUAUACUAAGUCUGUAAUGGAAAUGCAAGAAUGGCUUGACGCAACUCAUAAUACAAUAAUACUCUGGGGUGAUACAAAUUUAGAAAAAAUUUCUUUAUUGAGUAAUUUAGAUCGAAUUAAGGUAAAUAAGAAUUGAAGUUAUUGUCCAUUAUAAAUAUUUCAUACUUAUGAUUAAUUUUGUGUUUAUUAUGUAUAAUCAUAUUUUUCAGAAUUUAUUAUUAAGCCUUACAGAAGAAGAAAAUAGAAUUCAUAAUAUACAAAAACUAGCUGAAAAAGUUAUACCUGGUACAGUGGAAAAUGGACAAGUGAAUAUUAGGGCACAAAUUGACUCAUCACAACAAGAUUGGGAAGGACUUAUUACUACAGUAAAGUAAGAACACAGAUAUAUAAAUAUGUGUAAUGAGUAUGCUCUUUCUUAUAUGUUUUUUAGAAUAUUUUAGUAAUAAUAAUGUAGUUUUAAUUGUACAAAAUAAAAUUGGAACAUUAUUUUUUUUAAUAAAUAUAACUAUAUAGUAUAUAUUAUCUUUAUUAUUCUAUGAAAAAAAUAAAUUAUAUGUUUAGAUCAUCAAUAGAAGCUUUAGAAAAUAAACUUAAUAGUUGGAAUGAAUUUGAUACACUUAAGGAAUCAUGUUUAAUAUGGUUACGAGAAACUGAUUAUAAAAUACAUGCUAUUGAUUUGAAAAACUCAUUACAAGAAAAGAAAACUCAGCUUGAAGAACUUAAGGUUGUUUUAAUAAUUAUAUAAUUUAAAUAUACAAUUUAUAUUAUUAUAUUUUAAUUAUUAUUUAUAAUAAAUAACUAUAUAUAUAUUAAUUAUAGGAUUUACAAGGAGUAAUUCGAGCUAAAGAAUUUGAGAUUGAUUCAAUUACUGAAAAAUCACAAAAUCUGUAUACAAUGUCUAUGUCAAGUAAAAAUUCUCAGAUUACAGAAAUUGUUCAAAAAUUUCAUCAGCUUUCAAUGAAAAUAAAAGUAUUUGUGUUAAUUAUUAUUAAUUUUUAAAUUAUAAUUUAUUGGUUUUUUUUUUUAUAAUUUCAAGGAAUUGGUUGGGAAAUGGCAACAAUUUGUUAACAACCACUUAGAAUUUGAAAGUAGUCUAAGUGAAGCUAUUAUUUGGUUGGAUACUGUUGACGAUAAACUCACAAGUUGUACAGAUUUUAAAUCCACUAGUAAAGCUGAUUUAGAAGAAAAACUCAUUGUCAUCCAAGUAAAUAUAAAAAACUAAUAUUAAUAUAGUUAAAGUAUACAUUUAACUACAUCUAGAACAAUGAUUUAUUUAUUAUAAUUUUGAAGUAUUCAAAUAAAUUUAAAACAUUAGUUUUAAUUCUAUAUAAUAGUUAUUACAGUUAAAAUCUCUAUUAAUGGACACCUCUCAAUAAUGAAUCCUUCCUAAUAGUGAACACUUUUAAAUUCCCCUGCAUAAAUGUAUAUAAUAAGAGUUAUAACCUCUUAAUAGUGGAUGUGGACACUUAGAACUGGUACCAAAAUUAAAAAUUACCUCUUAUAAAUGGACACAAUACAUGUACAUACCGAAAAUGUUUAAGUAAUAAAAAUAUCAUACAUAUUUAUUUUUAUAAAUUUUGUUUAUAUUUUAUGUUAUCUUAAGAGAACGUUAUCUUGCAUUUACUGUUUCAGUGCAACUACCAAGUAACAUACAAAAACAAUGCUUAUGCGGAAUAGGUAAAAACAAGCUUAAUUUUGAUUUUAGAGUAAAAGUACCUAUUAUUAUGAAAUUUAUAAAGAAUAAUAUUUUAGAGAGAAUGUCAUAGAUGUUUUUUGAAUUGUGAAAUAUUAAAAAAUAAAAAAUAAUAAAGGUUUUUGUAUCUUUUAUAUCGAGCUUUAUAUUUUGAAUAAUACAAAAUCCCUAUGAAAUUCCUUCCAAAUAUUGUUCUCUAUAAAUUUAAUUAUACAUACUUUUACUCUAAAAUCAAAAUUAAACUAGUUUUGCUUAUUCUGUGUAAUCAUUGUUUUUGCAUGUUACCUACCCGGUAGUUGAACUGAAAUAGUAUAUGUGAGUAUAACGUUCUCUUAAUGGUUUUCCUAUUCGAUAAAUGACAAAUGGUUUGGUUAUGUGUUCGGUCAUCAGUUGUGUACUAAAAACAUGUACACAAAAAAAGAUUACAGAUUUUUUUUAAUUGUGCAUAAACAUAUAUCAUUUUUAUAUCCACUUUUUAAUACAUGUACCUUCAUAUAUAUAUAUAUAUUUAUUAUGUAUAUAAUAAAUAAUAAAUACAAAUUAAAUUUAAUAUUAAUCAUAUUAUAUCAAUUAAUUAAUAUAUUUCAGUAUAAUAAUAAUACAUUUUUUAUAAAUUAUAAUAAAUAAUACCAAUUUUAAUGUACAUGUAUAUGUAUAGCUAAUUCUCUAUAGCGCCUUCCUAUAAUGAACGUUUUGUAAUUUCUCGUAAAUAUUCACAAUAUAGACUUUUCAUUGUAUAACAUUAAGUAAGAAAACAUAAAAGAUUAAAAAUGUUUUUUCUCAAAACAUUAAAUUUCUUAUGGAUUCUCACUCAAACACAAAAUAAUAUAUUUUAUUAUUGUGAAAAUUAAUUAUAGUAAUUUAUAUUUUAUAUUUUUUAGGAUAUUUUGUUGUACAAAGAUGAUGGUUUUAGUAAAGUGCAAAAUUGUAUUGAAAUAGGCCAGUUAGUUUUAGCGAACACUGCACCUGAAGGACACAAAUCAAUAAAUGAAUCACUUAUAUCUUUACAAGAACAUUGGAGUAGUUUGGCAACAAAGAUGGUUGAAACCAAGGUAAAUACAUAAUAAUAUAUUAUAAUUAGUCAAAAAAUAACAUUUUUGAUUCAUUAAAUUAUAGACGAAUAUUGAUGAAUCGAUUCAACGGUGGUCAGGAUUUUUAGAACAUGUAAAGCAAGUUGGACAAAUAAUAGAUAAAUUUGAAGAAGCAUUACCUGAGUUAGAAGAAUUACAAGGAACUAUGGCUGAAAAAAGGGACCAAUUAGAGAAAUUAAAAGUACAUAUAAUUUUUAUAAAUAAAUAAUAUAAUUUUUAGUACCAUUUAGAGCUAAAUAUAUAUUUAAUUCCAAAUAAGUUAAGAAAUUAUUGGUAAAGUACUGAUGUAUUUCAAAAUGUAUAUUUUAAUCAAUUGAUAAAAUUCUAAUUUUGUUUCUUUUUUCUAUAUAGAACUCUUAAAUUAAAUCUAUUCAAAAUUAUUUAUACUAAAGUGAACUGUAGAUCCUGGUAAAAAUGUAUCUUUAUUUUGGAUUUAAUGAAAAAAUGAGUUCAUAUAAAUUAUAUAUAAUUAAUUUAAUAAUGUUAUAAAUUAAUAAUAAUUGUUAUAAAAAAAGUUAAAAAAGCUAAGGGGGGUAUGCCACUGUUGUUGGUAGGAAGUUGGGAAGAUAGGAUACAUAAAUUUAUUUAAUUUAUAUCUAUAAGGAACAAUAAACUGUUAUUAACGAUAAACAAUACGGAGAGAAGUUUGGUUAUACAUGUUUUGAAAGGCCAUAAUAUUUACAAUUUAAUAUAAAUUACACUCAAUUUUUUUUCCCACUAAGUACAACUUAAAAUGAGAAUCCUGUUAAAUCAUUAAGUAUUUUUGUUUAGUUUAAAAAUUUUAUCCACAUUUGUAGGUUUCUACAAAAUAAAAAUUAGGUUCAAAACUAGUUCAAAUGUUUUUAAAAAUGUAUAGAACAAAGUUCUGGUAGGUUUAGUUAGAGAAAAGGAAGUGUGAUGGGCUGUAGAAGCAAUGAAAAAGAAAAACAUUAAGUCCAAAUAGAGUACCAGUGGAAGUGUGGAAAAUGUUAGGGGAGUUCAGCACAAUAUGCUGGUUAAAAGAUUUGUUUUAAUUAUGUUCUACUAGAAGGAAAAAUACUAGAUGAAUGGAGAGUUUCGUAGUACUUAUAUUUAAUGGGAUAAAAAAGUUAUAAAAAGUAUGAAAAUUAUAAAGAAAUAAAGUUGUUGAAUCAUAGUAUGAAGAUUUGUGAAAGUUUAUAAAAAAAGUGAAUAAAAAGUGAAAUUAUAUAUGGCUUAUAGAUUUAGAGAAGGCAUAUGGCAUUGUACUGACAGUUUUUCUGAUAAUAGAUAAAGUAGUAGGUAGGUACUAGUUUUUACAAAAAAAUAUUAUUAUAAAUAUAGUAAGUUUAUGACAUUUUUAAUUUGCAUUUUCUUAUAUAAAAAUUAUAAGCAUUUGAUUGUUUUUUUUAGCAUUUGGAUGAAAAAGUUCGUUGUGAAAAGUUGGAAAUGGAUUCUUUGAAAUUAAAAGCACACGAGAUGCUAAAAACAGGCCAUCAAAGCAAUGCUGUUGCAGGAACACAAGAAGUAUUUGAUAAGUUUGACAGAAUUUCAGAUAAAGUGAAGGUAAAUUUAUUAUAUGUAGAUAAUUAUUCAAUUUUUUAGUUUUGUGUUUUAAUCAAUUAAAUUUAAUUUUAGAAAUUACUCAACCAACGUGAACAACAAUAUAAAGAUCAUAAAACAUAUAAGGAAGCAUAUGAAGAAUUAUCUAAUUUCUUAAACAGAUCUCGAGACAAAAUACCAUCAUUAAAAGAACGACCACUUAGUGAUAAAUUAGCUAUUGAAAAUGCCAUAAUGCCAUUAGAGGCUCUUUUGAAUAAGAGAGCUCAAGGUGAAUUACUUUUAGAUAAUUUAAAUACAAUUGGAGACAUUAUAACAGCAAGUACUUCUGAAACUGGAGAGAAAAUUAUCAAACAAGAAAUUUCUAUUAUAACUGAAGAAUUAAAAAAAUUAUUUGACGGUAUAUUAAACAAUUAGAUGU